UGGGGUAUCGCCAAGCGGUAAGGCACCGGUAUUCGAUCCGGCAUUCCGAGGUUCGAAUCCUCGUACCCCAGCCA
This 74-nucleotide transfer RNA is filed under the name Klebsiella pneumoniae. Its description in RNAcentral is "tRNA-OTHER". It matches the Rfam family "tRNA". From Rfam's summary of the family: Transfer RNA (tRNA) molecules are approximately 80 nucleotides in length. The record is from RNAcentral. Lineage: Bacteria; Pseudomonadati; Pseudomonadota; Gammaproteobacteria; Enterobacterales; Enterobacteriaceae.